UCAAGCCAGUCAGAAAUUCAGUGUCUGAGCAGUAAGCUGGAGCAGGUGCAUGAUACUAUCUGUGCCAAUGAGUUGGAGAUAGAGUGCCUCACCAUGAGGGUCAGUGACUUGGUUGGAACUAAUAUGACUGUUAUGCAGGAACAGUGGCAAAAAGAAAAAUUGAGGGAAUCUGAAAAACUUUAAGAGGUUUUUCAGGAAGAAAAGAGAAAAUUGAAGUCAGCUCUUCAGUCACCAGAAAAUUUCAUUCAUGAGACAAGAGUACAAAUAGAAAUGCUUUAAGCAAAAUCAAAGGCAACAGACUCUCAGCACAUAGUAGAGGCCAUAAGGUCACUGGAGGAGCCUCCGGCAGAAAGGAGGUACACCUGCCAAGGGCAGGAGGAGUCAGACAAUGUGGUUUCCCAGCUGGAUUUGACCCACAGUAGUGAAGAGUUUCUGCAAGUAGAGGUGACUCACCUGGA
Non-coding RNA from Manis javanica (Malayan pangolin), 458 nucleotides. The record is from RefSeq and is a predicted model, not a curated record. NCBI's taxonomy places the organism in Eukaryota, Metazoa, Chordata, Mammalia, Pholidota, Manidae.